GAGACAUUGACAUUUAGGGAUGUGGCCAUAGAAUUCUCUCUGGAGGAGUGGGAAUGCCUGAACCCUGCUCAGCAGAAUUUAUAUAUGAAUGUGAUGUUAGAAAACUACAAAAACCUGGUCUUCUUGGCAGGUGUUGCUGUCUCUAAGCAAGACCCAGUCACCUGUCUGGAGCAAGAAAAAGAGCCCUGGAAUAUGAAGAGACAUGAGAUGGUGGAUGAACCCCCAGCUAUGUGUUCUUAUUUUACCAAAGACCUUUGGCCAGAGCAAGACAUAAAAGAUUCUUUUCAACAAGUAAUACUGAGAAGAUAUGGCAAAUGUGAACAUGAGAAUUUACAGUUAAGAAAAG
Molecule: long non-coding RNA, 346 nt
Filed under: Homo sapiens (human)
Lineage: Eukaryota; Metazoa; Chordata; Mammalia; Primates; Hominidae
Description: HSALNT0257128
Source: RNAcentral